RNAcentral lists this ribosomal RNA (250 nucleotides) under uncultured bacterium. Its description in RNAcentral is "partial 16S ribosomal RNA". It matches the Rfam family "Bacterial small subunit ribosomal RNA", at positions 524 to 771 of the family's 1533-position model. The record is from RNAcentral.
UACGGAGGGUGCGAGCGUUGUUCGGAAUUAUUGGGCGUAAAGCGCGCGUAGGCGGCCGUUUAAGUCUCGCUGUGAAAUCUGGGGGCUCAACCCUCACGACUGCAGGGGAUACUGGGCGGCUGGAGACAGGUAGAGGCGAGCGGAAUUCCGGGUGUAGCGGUGGAAUGCGUAGAGAUCCGGAAGAACACCAGAGGCGAAGGCGGCUCGCUGGACCUGGUCUGACGCUGAGGUGCGAAAGCGUGGGGAGCGA